GAUGAACGCUGGCGGCGUGCCUAAUACAUGCAAGUCGAGCGAACGGACGAGAAGCUUGCUUCUCUGAUGUUAGCGGCGGACGGGUGAGUAACACGUGGAUAACCUACCUAUAAGACUGGGAUAACUUCGGGAAACCGGAGCUAAUACCGGAUAAUAUUUUGAACCGCAUGGUUCAAAAGUGAAAGACGGUCCUGCUGUCACUUAUAGAUGGAUCCGCGCUGCAUUAGCUAGUUGGUAAGGUAACGGCUUACCAAGGCAACGAUGCAUAGCCGACCUGAGAGGGUGAUAGGACACACGGGAACUGAGAAACGGUCCAGACUCCUACGGGAAGCAGCAGUAGGGAAUCUUACGCAAUGGGCGAAAGCCUGACGGAGCAAAGCGGCGUGAGUGAUGAAGGUCUUCGGAUCGUAAAACUCUGUUAUUAGGGAAGAACAUAUGUGUAAGUAACUGUGAACAUCUUGACGGUACCUAAUCAGAAAGCCACGGCUAACUACGUG
Molecule: ribosomal RNA, 497 nt
Filed under: uncultured bacterium
Lineage: Bacteria
Description: partial 16S ribosomal RNA
Rfam family: Bacterial small subunit ribosomal RNA
Source: RNAcentral